UACGUAGGAGGCGAGCGUUGUCCGGAAUUACUGGGUGUAAAGCGCGUGUAGGCGGUGAGUUAAGUCUGUUGUGAAAGCGCCCGGCUCAACCGGGCAGAGUCAAUGGAAACUAGCGCACUGGAGGUCGGUAGAGGCGAGUGGAAUUCCCGGUGUAGUGGUGAAAUGCGUAGAGAUCGGGAGGAACACCAGUGGCGAAGGCGGCUCACUGGCUCGGUACUGACGCUGAGGUGCGAAAGCGUGGGGAGCAAACAGGG
RNAcentral lists this ribosomal RNA (254 nucleotides) under uncultured bacterium. RNAcentral describes it as "partial 16S ribosomal RNA". It matches the Rfam family "Bacterial small subunit ribosomal RNA", at positions 524 to 777 of the family's 1533-position model. The record is from RNAcentral.